UAAGAUGGAAUGGUAGGAAGAUUCAGAGACUAGUAAGAUUAUAAAAAAAUUGGAGGAAGCACCAAGCUCCGUAGCUCAUUACAAUUGGGACUCAAAAGAAUUACACUACAAGAGUACUAAAUUGAAAAGGAGUAUGGCAUAUCACUCACAAACCGACGGCCAGACAGAAGUUGUAAAUAGGUGCUUGGAGAUAGCCCAAAGCCACCCACCAAAUAUGACUACCCAAGGAGGACUUCAGACUCAGCCAAGUGCCAUUAUUGAUCGACGGAUUAUGACUCGACGACGACGAUCCACUACUGAAUUGCUAAUACAGUGGGCAAACCUACUAACAAAAGAUGCCACUUUGGAGAACUAUGAUGACUUGAAGAUCAAAUUCCCAAAAUUCAUGAAUCGAUAGCCUCGAGGACAAGGCUGAUUUGAAGAGGGCGGGUUUGUUAGGACUCUAGCUAGGAGAGUACUAAUUGAGAGGGACAUUCAUGUAAAACUGUUAGGACUUUAGC
RNAcentral lists this long non-coding RNA (500 nucleotides) under Musa acuminata (dwarf banana). RNAcentral's name for it is "long non-coding RNA (MACU_LNC005350)". Lineage: Eukaryota; Viridiplantae; Streptophyta; Magnoliopsida; Zingiberales; Musaceae. The record is from RNAcentral.